CAAGGCCUUGCGCUCUUUGAGCGGCCGAUGUCAGAUUAGCUAGUUGGUGAGGUAAGGGCUUACCAAGGCGACGAUCUGUAGCGGGUCUGAGAGAAUGAUCCGCCACACUGGAACUGAGACACGGUCCAGACUCCUACGGGAGGCAGCAGUGGGGAAUUUUGGACAAUGGGGGCAACCCUGAUCCAGCCAUGCCGCGUGAGUGAAGAAGGCCUUCGGGUUGUAAAGCUCUUUCGGCCGGGAAGAAAUCGCAUGGGCCAAUACCCUGUGUGGAUGACGGUACCGGAAUAAGAAGCACCGGCUAACUACGUGCCAGCAGCCGCGGUAAUACGUAGGGUGCGAGCGUUAAUCGGAAUUACUGGGCGUAAAGCGUGCGCAGGCGGUUUUGUAAGACAGGCGUGAAAUCCCCGGGCUUAACCUGGGAACUGCGUUUGUGACUGCAAGGCUAGAGUACGGCAGAGGGGGGUGGAAUUCCACGUGUAGCAGUGAAAUGCGUAGAGAUGUGGAGGAACACCAAUGGAGAAGGCAGCCCCCUGGGUCGAUACUGACGCUCAUGCACGAAAGCGUGGGUAGCAAACAGGAUUAGAUACCCUGGUAGUCCACGCCCUAAACUAUGUCAACUAGGUGUUGGGUGGGUAAAACCAUUUAGUACCGUAGCUAACGCGUGAAGUUGACCGCCUGGGGAGUACGGCCGCAAGGUUAAAACUCAAAGGAAUUGACGGGGACCCGCACAAGCGGUGGAUGAUGUGGAUUAAUUCGAUGCAACGCGAAAAACCUUACCUACCCUUGACAUGCCAGGAACUUGCCAGAGAUGGCUUGGUGCCCGAAAGGGAGCCUGGACACAGGUGCUGCAUGGCCGUCGUCAGCUCGUGUCGUGAGAUGUUGGGUUAAGUCCCGCAACGAGCGCAACCCUUGUCGUUAAUUGCCAUCAUUUAGUUGGGCACUUUAACGAGACUGCCGGUGACAAACCGGAGGAAGGUGGGGAUGUCGUCAAGUCCUCAUGGCCCUUAUGGGUAGGGCUUCACACGUCAUACAAUGGUCGGUACAAAGGGUUGCCAAGCCGCGAGGCGGAGCCAAUCCCAGAAAGCCGAUCGUAGUCCGGAUUGCAGGCUGCAACUCGCCUGCAUGAAGUCGGAAUCGCUAGUAAUCGUGGAUCAGCAUGUCACGGUGAAUACGUUCCCGGGUCUUGUACACACCGCCCGUCACACCAUGGGAGCGGGUUCCGCCAGAAGUAGGUAGCCUAACCGCAAGGGGGGCGCUUACCA
Molecule: ribosomal RNA, 1262 nt
Filed under: metagenome
Description: bacterial SSU rRNA
Rfam family: Bacterial small subunit ribosomal RNA
Source: RNAcentral